GACGAACGCUGGCGGUGUGCUUCACACAUGCAAGUCGAACGAGGUAGCAAUACCUAGUGGCGGACGGGUGAGUAACGCGUGGGAAUCUGCCUUUGGAUGGGGGAUAACGGGUCGAAAGACUCGCUAAUACCGCAUAUGACGAAAGUUGAAAGGAGUAAUCCGUCUAAAGAUGAGCCCGCGUCCGAUUAGCUAGUUGGUAGAGUAAAAGCCUACCAAGGCGACGAUCGGUAGCUGGUCUGAGAGGAUGAUCAGCCACAAUGGGACUGAGACACGGCCCAUACUCCUACGGGAGGCAGCAGUGGGGAAUUUUACGCAAUGGGCGAAAGCCUGACGUAGCGACACCGCGUGAGCGAAGAAGCCCCUUGGGGUGUAAAGCUCUGUCAGCUGGAACGAAAAAAUGACGGUACCAGCAGAGGAAGCAUCGGCUAACUACGUG
Molecule: ribosomal RNA, 436 nt
Filed under: uncultured bacterium
Lineage: Bacteria
Description: bacterial SSU rRNA
Rfam family: Bacterial small subunit ribosomal RNA
Source: RNAcentral